ACAGCGCAGAGCCAGCUUCAGGAUGCACUGUGGGCUUCGCCUGAUAGCGCAGCGAUGUUAAUGUCGUCUCAUCAGCCAUGAGCAGCGCACCAUGCCAACAGGCCAUGCUAAUGACAGAAUUGAGGGGAGGGGAAGUGCUGAUUUCAUUAUUUAUGCCCACGGGAGUGUUAUGCACAUUCUUAGCCAUUUUGUGCAGAUUCUUACAUUGAAAUACAACUACUGUCAAAAGGGAGUCAAGUGAGGUAAACGAUUAUGCCACAAUGAAAAGAGCUGUGCCUAUGCUUGCUCCAUGAUGCUUUUCUUUGUUGGGAUUAAUUUCUCGGUUGCGCAGCAUCUGCAGGUG
Molecule: non-coding RNA, 343 nt
Organism: Peromyscus maniculatus bairdii (prairie deer mouse)
Lineage: Eukaryota; Metazoa; Chordata; Mammalia; Rodentia; Cricetidae
Source: RefSeq, a predicted model, not a curated record